GCGUGCCGAUGAUGAUGCAAAAGCAUCGGUGAAUUCUGGAUGAAUGUGCUCGCGCACGACCAGUGUGCGGCUCUGGUGAUAUCCACUGCGUAAUACUGUCUCUGAGGCACGC
Molecule: non-coding RNA, 112 nt
Organism: Triticum aestivum (bread wheat)
Lineage: Eukaryota; Viridiplantae; Streptophyta; Magnoliopsida; Poales; Poaceae
Source: Rfam